This is a long non-coding RNA of Galeopterus variegatus (Sunda flying lemur), 1943 nucleotides long. RefSeq lists it as uncharacterized. Lineage: Eukaryota; Metazoa; Chordata; Mammalia; Dermoptera; Cynocephalidae. The record is from RefSeq and is a predicted model, not a curated record. The transcript is spliced from 7 exons.
CGUAUUCCAAACAUUUUGGUAUGAUGUGUCUUUAUGUUCUUCUCUUUCAGAACUAUUUAAAUCAUGGAUGAACAAAACAUGCAAGUGAAUGCUUCUCACUCAGGAAAAGUUUUGCCAGCUGGGCAUCCCCCUUAAGUAUCCAUCGGCUGCAUUUCAAGAAAUUGGCAAUAAACUCCCUGAGAGCAGGUUGACUCACUGAUAGCUGUACUCACAUAUGGAUGCAUCAAUUUUGUCAUAAAUUUCCCAUUUAAAAGUAUUUAUAAUUGUCCAUUCUAAGUAUUAAAUUUUUCAUGGCCUUUAAUGCUAAAGUAUUGUGGAACACAGUUCUUUGAAAUUAUAUUCUAUUCAUAUGGAAUUGCUACUCUGUGGACUAUACAAAUAAACUUAUGAAGCUUCAUUGCAAUCACACAUUUACAGGACCUCCAGGACUUACUGGCUACCCUGGACCCCAGCCUGGCUACCCUGGACCCCAGCCUGGCUAUCCAGUUCUACCAGCCAGCUAUUCAGGUGCUGGACCAGCCGGCUUUUUUGUCCAAAGUCAGCCACUAUAUAAUCAGCCUGGUGGACCUGCAGGGGCACCAUGGAUGCCAGCACCACCACCUCCACUGAACUGUCUACCUGGAUUGGAAUAUUUAAGUCAGGAAUACAGUUCUCAUAGAGGCAGAAACUCACGAGCAUGGGUAUGGAUCUCUGAAUCUAGUAAGAAGAAGCGCAUUUUGAGGAGAUAGCCCCAUGCUGGGUUCUGCUGGUGAUGGACGGGGCAGGAUCUCCACUCCAAAUGCCGUGCUGAAGAGAUGAAAUGCGAAUCGUCCCCUGGUUACAGCUGCUCCGCAAGCCCUGGGCUACCAGGCAGCAGUGGCCGGUGGCGCCAUCCAGAGUCCUCACUAUUCCUCCCGAAUGUGGGCUCCAGACAGUCGUGACAGAAGAUGCUCAUCUGAUGUCACUACGGCAGUUAUUAGAGAACUCCCCAUUCCAGUGACAUCAGCAGCACCAAAAAUGAGAAAAUGAAGGCAGUGUUUUCCUGGCAGAGCUCAUCUCAGAAUGAAGUGUUGUGUGUAAUGCUGAACAGUCUGGAAGACUGGCUUUGCACCCUGGCCUUCUGCCAUGACCACACUGGUCAAAACAGAGGAUCUAUGGAACCAACCUCAUCCUCCUAUGCUCCUCAGGACCUACACUGAUGCCUGACAAGGACUGAUGAGGAUACCCCAGCGAUCACUCUUCAGCUGAAAACCUUCCCAUCCCCACCUCCUGCAAAUGCACUCAACAAAGCUACCUUCCCCGAAGGAGGCACAAAUAUUCUGCAUCUGGGCUUUGAAGCCGUUCCCAACCAAAGGCUUGUUGGGGAGAGAAAUUGUGAUGCUUCCAAUGGAUUGUUUAUGCACAUUCCUAAUGCCAACAAGACACUUCUGCCUGCCCCACUUUUUUUGCUCUUUUCAUUUUGAGUCGACAGGGAGUUCCAGAGAUCAAUUCCUCCCACCCCCUUUUGUUGCUACAACUGCAUUUUCUGGUCACAUAUUCUUCCGAGACUAUCCUCUCCCAACUCCACACCUCCCAGUCUUACAAACAGGUGGAGGGCGGUGCAGAUUCUUAUCUCGUCUCCUGAUUAAGGGGUUGCUGAGUCAACAGAGAUCUUGUCCACAAGGCCUCUUUACCAAGGGAUUCUAGUUAGUUUCUAGGAGCAACCUGCCACACCCCCUCAGUGUGACGAGGGCUCCUGGAGGGGAGGAGGACAGCCUCUUUGGGGUGAAGAGGUAGUGGUGGUGUUAGGGCUUUCUACAGGGACCUCCCAAGCAGGACCCGACACACUCUUGCCCCUUCUUCUCUUCUUCUUUUUCUACUUAGAAUAUCUUGGACGUUAUUCCUUACUGGUACACACAAAGCUGAAAGAAAGUGAGCCGAGAUGCCGGGUACCGAUCAAGCUUUAUUAAAGGAAAAGAAUCUGC